GAACUCCAAAAUUAAUUUUUUUUUUUUUUUUUAAGAGAAUAGAUUCUCUAUCUUAACCUGUUUUGACACCAAGAAAUGCAGUGAAGUUAUUUCUAGAAAAGAAAUAAGAAAAAUU
Cucurbita pepo subsp. pepo (vegetable marrow) is the source of this 115-nucleotide non-coding RNA. The record is from RefSeq and is a predicted model, not a curated record. Lineage: Eukaryota; Viridiplantae; Streptophyta; Magnoliopsida; Cucurbitales; Cucurbitaceae.